Candidatus Kaiserbacteria bacterium is the source of this 86-nucleotide non-coding RNA. The record is from Rfam. Lineage: Bacteria; Candidatus Kaiseribacteriota.
GGAGGGGUGGCAGAGUUGGUCUAUCGCACUUGUCUUGAAAACAAGAGUGUCGCAAGGCACCGUGGGUUCGAAUCCCACCCCCUCCG